Phragmites australis (common reed) is the source of this 784-nucleotide long non-coding RNA. RefSeq lists it as uncharacterized. The record is from RefSeq and is a predicted model, not a curated record. Lineage: Eukaryota; Viridiplantae; Streptophyta; Magnoliopsida; Poales; Poaceae. The transcript is spliced from 3 exons.
AGCUGUCUUUGAGUGUGCUGUCUGGGACGAGUAAACGUCGCCAGCACACCUUGCUGAGAUUCUGAUUCGGACUCUCAGGGGCGGAUUGGGGGAGGGGGAGAGAUGGAGAAGAAAAAAGAGACGGGAAGAGGAAGAUGAAGAAACAGAGGUCCAGCCUGACCCGUCUUCGCCACCGGGCGGCCCAAUCGAGGGGUGCGGUGGCGGCGUCCGGCUGCAUUUCCCCCGCUCCUCCGUCCGGACCAACACAACAGUGCAGCGCACGGGCGAAACUGCGAAAGCCUUGAGCGGUUGAGCGAACCUCAACCACCGCCGCAGCGCCCUCGCUGUUGCAUGCCGAGCUGCGUCCCUUCGGAGUCACUGGACGAGAGCCCAGCUUCUCGAAGCUUGCCUGUGAAUUGGUGCGCGCGCGCGGGAGCUCCUGCCGCGGUGUUUCGGGUCCUGUGAUCCCACAGCACCCUAGGCGGGUGCAUCGGCGAUGUUUCGAAAGAAGCCCAAUCCCUACGGACUGCAGCCCCCCCUGGUAGUGGUGGAUACACUAGCACGGUCUCUCCUGCCCCGGCUAGAUAGAGGUGCUGAUGGCGCUCGGUUUAGCGGCAACCCUGCACUGGGGGCUGUGGGGCAAUAUGGAGAGGCUUACGCUUCAGUGUAUGGCGCGCAGCAGGUGGUUCAGUCACCUCUCGUUUGUAUUCGUUUUCAGUUUGGAUUCCAGAUGCAGUUUAUUUUGUUUUCUAAUAUUGCCACAUGCUUAUUAAUGUAUACUGUAUGCAAGUGAUUGCAUGAUCGA